Molecule: long non-coding RNA, 845 nt
Organism: Salvia miltiorrhiza (redroot sage)
Lineage: Eukaryota; Viridiplantae; Streptophyta; Magnoliopsida; Lamiales; Lamiaceae
Exons: 4
Source: RefSeq, a predicted model, not a curated record
UUGUUUAAUUUAUUUUGAGUCUAAGGCCCAUGUAUAUGAAUUGUGGUAUAUAGUUAUAGGAUUAAAUUAUUAUGUCCUUAAGCCCAUAUAAUUAUAGGCUUGAGUUUUAUUUUUGUAUUAAGGCCCAUUUUAGUUAGCUGCAGCGUGAGAGAAAAAAAAAUGAUUACAAUCUGACAAGAAUCAGAUUUCUUUUCUGCUAUAGCGUAUGUCAGUUUCUUUUCUGCUACAGCGUAUUUUCAUCUCCCGAGAAAUCUUCAAAAUCUGCCCAAAAUCUUUUUACUUCCUACCGAGCCUUAUCUCUGCAACCUCUUCACUCUCUUUUUUUAAAACUCUCCCAAACCCAUCAGAACCUUCUCUGUCAUUUUCCAUCUCUGAAACUCUGUCAUUUUCUAUCUCUGAAUCUGCAAGAAUAUUUCUACCUCAAGAGUUCAUGACACUUAUCAAGGCAAGCAGAUACUACUACACAUUCAUCAAACAUUCACCAAAAUCCAACUGAACAAGGCCUUGAGGACCAGGAGGAUUAGCACUGCUUUCCCGUGACAGGUUUACGAUUAAACUACAGGCUUUGCCUAUUCAGGCCUUGAGGACCAGGAGGAUUAGCACUGCUUUCCCGUGACAGGUUUACGAUUAAACUACAGGCUUUGCCUAUUCAGGUUGAUCGGCUGGUGCAGACGGGGCUGAGCUGAGGCUGGGUACCACAAUGUCUUUUGCUUCCGCUAACGACUAGCUUGUCAUUUCGUCUGUUAAAUUCUCUAAACUUAGAAUUUCUAUUAUGUGGUACAAUAUUAUCUUAUUGGGCUUAAACUCUUAUCCUAUAUUUCUAUUAAUAAAGCUAUCUUUGAUUA